AAUGAACGUUGGCGGCGUGGAUUAGGCAUGCAAGUCGCGCGAGAAGUUUCCUUCGGGAGACGGACAGCGGCGGAAGGGAGAGGAAUACGUAGAAAUCUGCCCUCGAGCCUGGGAUAGCGGCGGGAAACUGCCGGUAAUACCAGAUAAAGUCUUCGGACCAAAGGUGUGAUUCCGCUUGAGGAUGAGUCUACGUCCUAUUAGCUAGUUGGCGGGGUAAUGGCCCACCAAGGCAACGAUGGGUAGCGGGUGUGAGAGCACGAUCCGCCUCACUGGGACUGAGACACUGCCCAGACACCUACGGGUGGCUGCAGUCGAGAAUCUUCGGCAAUGGGGGAAACCCUGACCGAGCGACGCCGCGUGCGGGAUGAAGGCCCUCGGGUUGUAAACCGCUGUCGUAAGGGAACAAAUCCAUAGGGGUAC
This 420-nucleotide ribosomal RNA is filed under the name uncultured bacterium. RNAcentral's name for it is "bacterial SSU rRNA". It matches the Rfam family "Bacterial small subunit ribosomal RNA", at positions 29 to 478 of the family's 1533-position model. The record is from RNAcentral.